Molecule: RNase P RNA, 339 nt
Filed under: marine eukaryotic metagenome
Description: Bacterial RNase P class A
Rfam family: Bacterial RNase P class A
About the family: Ribonuclease P (RNase P) is a ubiquitous endoribonuclease, found in archaea, bacteria and eukarya as well as chloroplasts and mitochondria. Its best characterised activity is the generation of mature 5'-ends of tRNAs by cleaving the 5'-leader elements of precursor-tRNAs.
Source: RNAcentral
CGCAGACUGUCGCGUCGGCUCGAAAGGCCGAUGAGGAAAGUCCGGGCACCAUAGGGCUGGUUGCUGGGUAAUUCCCAGUGCGCGUGAGCGUGAGGAUAGUGCCACAGAAAUGAAAACCGCCGCAGCAAUGCGGUAAGGGUGCAACGGUGCGGUAAGAGCGUCACCAGCAAGGUCGAGAGGCCUUGGCUAGGUAAACCCCGCUGAAGGUGCAAGGCGAAGGUAUAACUUGAGGUUAUGGUGGCCCGCCAUCUCAAGUUGCUGAUGCCGCUAGAGGGUGUAGGAGACUGCACUCCCAGAUAGAUGACAGUCGAACACAGAACCCGGCUUACGCGCUACUUC